CAUAAGAGAAAGCGAUGAAAGUGGUGGAAAAAAAUAAAAUAAAAAAUAGAGCACCUUUAUUUGAAGGAACAUUUUAAGGUCACUAGUAAUUCUAUAUUACAAGAAAAUAUUGCAGGAAUUGAAAAAAAAGGAGUACCCAAAACAAUAGCAUACAAAAUUUUAUUUAUAUGUGUGUAUAUAUAAAAAAAAUAUAUUUAUAUAUAUUAUGAGCAGAAUAUUAUACAAACAUGCAUUUGAAAAAAUACAGUGAAAAUAUAUAGAUAAUAAACGUAUGUUGAGAUGGUGGUACCAUAGGAGAUUUUUUCCUUUUUUCCUUCCACUCUUUUAUAAAAGUUCUCUAACGUUGUUGUUACUUUAGUUGAUGUCAAAUACUAUAUAUAUAUGGUAUAAGAAAUAAGUUAUGUUAAUUGUUUUCUUGAAUAAUAAGACAACUGUAUAAAAAAAAAAGGCCAAAUUCACCAACUAAAUACCAAAGGCAAUAUGGUUCAGAUCUGGGAGUCAGGCAUCGGAGGGGCGUCCUGUAGGGAA
Vicugna pacos (alpaca) is the source of this 528-nucleotide non-coding RNA. NCBI's taxonomy places the organism in Eukaryota, Metazoa, Chordata, Mammalia, Artiodactyla, Camelidae. The record is from RefSeq and is a predicted model, not a curated record.